UGAGUACGAGAUGCUACGGCAUCGAAGCAGUCUAUGUCAUACUUCCAAGAAAAGCUUGCACUGUCAGAAACAGAUAAUGCCUGUACCAUAACCGACACAGGUGGGUAGGUAGAGUAUACUAAGGGGCGCGAGAUAACUCUCUCUAAGGAACUCGGCAAAAUGACUCCGUAACUUCGGGAGAAGGAGUGCCUUAUUUUUAAGGUUGCAAUAACAAGAUCCAAGCAACUGUUUACCAAAAACACAGGUCUCCGCUAAGUCGUAAGACGAUGUAUGGGGGCUGACGCCUGCCCAGUGCCAGAAGGUUAAAGAAGUCGGUUAGCAUUCGCGAAGCUGGUAACUGAAGCCCUGGUGAACGGCGGCCGUAACAAUAACGGUCCUAAGGUAGCGAAAUUCCUUGUCGGGUAAGUUCCGACCCGCACGAAAGGCGUAAUGAUUUGGAUACUGUCUCGGAGAGGGGCUCGGUGAAAUAGACUUGUCUGUGAAGAUGCGGACUACCUGCACCUGGACAGAAAGACCCUAUGAAGCUUUACUGUAACUUGAAAUUGAAAUUGGACUUUAUUUGCGCAGUAUAGGUGGGAGGCGUUGAAAAUAUUCUUGCGGGAAUAUUGGAGCCAUCAGUGAGAUACCACUCUUGUAAUGUUAGAUUUCUAACUUUAUAUCAUUAUCUGGUUAAAGAACAGUUUCAGGCGGGCAGUUUGACUGGGGCGGUCGCCUCCCAAAUGGUAACGGAGGCGCACAAAGGUUUCCUCUGAACGGGUAGAAAUCGUAUCUAGAGUGUAAAGGCAUAAGGAAGCUUGACUGUGAGACCUACAAGUCGAGCAGGGACGAAAGUCGGUCUUAGUGAUCUGACGGUGCUGAGUGGAAAGGCCGUCACUCAACGGAUAAAAGUUACUCUAAGGAUAACAGGCUGAUCUCCCCCAAGAGUUCACAUCGACGGGGAGGUUUGGCACCUCGAUGUCGGCUCAUCGCAUCCUGGGGCGGUAGUACGUCCCAAGGGUUGGGCUGUUCGCCCAUGAAAGCGGUACGCGAGCUGGGUUCAGAACGUCGUGAGACAGUUCGGUCCAUAUCCGGUGUAGGCGUUAGAAUAUUGAGAGGGGCCUUCUUUAGUACGAGAGGACCGAGAAGGACAUACCUCUGGUGUACCAGUUAUCGUGCCAACGGUAAACGCUGGGUAGCUAUGUAUGGAGUGGAUAACCGCUGAAAGCAUCUAAGUGGGAAGCCCACCUCAAGAUAAGUAUUCUCACCAUAUUGGUUAAGGUCACGGGAAGAACACCCGUUGAUAGGCAUCAGGUGGAAGUGCAGUAAUGUAUGAAGCCGAAGUGUACUAACAGACCGAGGGC
Molecule: ribosomal RNA, 1340 nt
Filed under: metagenome
Description: bacterial LSU rRNA
Rfam family: Bacterial large subunit ribosomal RNA
Source: RNAcentral